This 69-nucleotide transfer RNA is filed under the name Echinostoma miyagawai. RNAcentral describes it as "tRNA-Pro". The record is from RNAcentral. Lineage: Eukaryota; Metazoa; Platyhelminthes; Trematoda; Plagiorchiida; Echinostomatidae.
CAGUGUUGUAGUUUAAGGUAGAAUGACAGCUUUGGGGGUUGUAGGUCUUUUUGUUUGAAAGUGGGCUGA